AACGAACGCUGGCGGCAGGCUUAACACAUGCAAGUCGAGCGCCCCGCAAGGGGAGCGGCUGACGGGUGAGUAACGCGUGGGAACGUACCUUUUGGUUCGUAACAACUCCGGGAAACUGGAGCUAAUACCGGAUAAGCCCUAACGGGGAAAGAUUUAUCGCCGAAAGAUUGGCCCGCGUCUGAUUAGCUAGUUGGUGAGGUAACGGCUCACCAAGGCGACGAUCAGUAGCUGGUCUGAGAGGAUGAUCAGCCACACUGGGACUGAGACACGGCCCAGACUCAGACGUGAGACAGCAGUAGGGAAUAUUACGCAAUGGGCGAAAGCGAGGCGGAGAAACGGGGCGUGAGUGAUGAAGGUCUUUGGAGCGGAAAACGCUGUUAUUAAGGAAGAAAAAAUGGGCAAGUAACUAUGCACGUCAUGACAGGACCUAAUCAGAAAGCCACGGCUAAGUACAAG
This 456-nucleotide ribosomal RNA is filed under the name uncultured bacterium. RNAcentral describes it as "partial 16S ribosomal RNA". It matches the Rfam family "Bacterial small subunit ribosomal RNA", at positions 30 to 507 of the family's 1533-position model. The record is from RNAcentral.